AAAAACACUCACCCUCAUACCACUGCAUUGCCGCCACUCUCCGGUGACGAUAGCCGAUCAAAACCUAAACCCCAAAUUAAUUUCCCGCCGAUCAUGCACUGCUCUUCCCAUUACCGAAUUCUUGUAAAUUCUUAUUUAAGGAAAAAAAAAGAGGAAGAGAUUGUUGUCUUUUUGAAUAUUCAAGAAUGUUUUCUUUUUCAAAAGAAAAUUAUGUUCUUAUUUUCGUGGUGUGUGUUAAGGAUGUUGAAGAAAUUAGUUUUAACUUUUCAAGUCAGUAAUGCAGUUCGCACAGGGGAUUUGAGUUUCGUUUCAGAAAUACCGUAUCUGCAGACAAGAUGAUGAAGAGAAACUGAAAUUUACAGUUUGAUUCCAGGAAACCCUAAAUUGAUCAAUUUUCUCGUUGAUGUCAAAUUGGUAUUCUUCCAUGCAUUGGUUUUAAAGAAAAUAUCAAGAAACUGUUGUCUAAGUUACAUUGGUAUUCAUAGGAAAUUGUUGUUUUCAAGAAUAUAUUGGUAUAGAACUUCAAGAAAUCUUUUCUUUUUUAAGAAAAUCAAAGAAUUAUGUUGUCAAAAAAGCAUGUUUACGGAACGGCAAGUGUUUGUACCUUGGAAUUUAUGACCUGUAGACAAGAUGACUGCUGUUUGCUAAUAAGGAUUUGUUGGGAUUUUUCUUUUUGAAGUCAUUGUAUUUUACAACCAACCAGUCCGAAGGAAGCAAAUGCACUCCAAGUACUUAUAGUUUUCUCAGAAUCAAUCAAGUAAAACAUAUUGAUUUACAUACUUUACUUCUAAAGCUAUACUCUGAUCUGAUUGUUCUUUUGGUUUUCAUAAAUAAUCUUGAAGUUCAAAGAGGGUUUUGCAUUCACCGAAAGAGUCUCUGCUAAGAAUCACCCUUUCACAUCCCAGUGUCUUCUUCAAAUUGUUUAUAUUGAAAGGUCCGUCUUUGAUAAACUAGCUAAUAGAAGGAUAUGUCCUGUCUGUUUUCUUAGAUUUGUAAUUAGCAUGCAGUGAGGACCUGCUUUGCGCACGUGCUUCUGCUUCUUCUUGGGCUGUUGUCAAGCGGGUUUGGGGUCCAUCUGAGUUCCCUUAACAAAUUGAAUGCAAGAGUUGGUCCAUUUAAGCUGUAAGGAUACAUCUCAGGUCUUGAUGUUUAUACAAUAAAGGUAUAAGGGUAAACUACUUGCUGGCUGUUGCCAAAUAUGCCCGUGAAAACAGGAUACCUUACCUGGGCAUAUGUCUAGGAAUGCAAAUUGCUGCUAUGGAGUAAGCUAGAUCGUUUCUUGGGUUGCUAGGUGCGAACAGUUCAGAGUUUGAUCCCAACACUCAUGUGUAAUUUUCAUGCCAGAACUUAAGUAUCCCCUUCAUCAUGAAUUUCCCUCAUGAUCUUCAUGUGUUUUAGGUCUUAUUUCAGAAGCAUAUAUUUAUCUGUAGAUCAUGUUCACUGGGUUCAGAAACACAUAUGGGUGGUACCAUACGUCUUGGAUCAAGAAGAAUGUACUUUCAAGUUAAAGAUUCUAAAUCUGCAAAACUGUAGUACUUCCUUUCCUCCAACCUCAUUGCAUUGGCUGUAUCACUGUGUGUGAAGGUCUUAUCUGGACUAAUGAGGACAACUAGCUAUCUUGAUUCGAGCAAGAAUUGGUCAUGCCUGAAAUUGGCUACCAAUUACUACACAACUGUGCUGACCAAAUUCAGAACUGGGUUUGGAUCUGCAACAUUCAUUCACAGGCUUCAAGAUCAUUUACCAGGAACUUAAAUCUGAUUCACAAGCAACCUACAUUUGUCACACUUCUUGAGGAUAUAUGCCUGUUUCUGGAAAACGAGGCAUGACAAACACUUCUUCUCAGGCUAGUUAUUACAUCCUGAGGCAGCUAAAGUCUCUUUGCCUUGGUGGAUAAUGCUGAGUUCAAAUGAUGCCAUACAGCAGUCAUUAUGGAGCUUGCUUUGUUUCCUCAGGGCCCUCAAAAAAAGCAACUACUUUAUCAUGGGAAAGAAGGAAUCAUUCCUUCAAUGACAGUCAACUUCACUAGAACCAUGGACUGGGAGUGAGGUCACUUCUGCUAUUGAUCUGGUGUCUCACGAGAUGGACUGGUGCUGAUGGGAGAAAGAUAUGUCUAUAGGAUUGCAAGCAUUACUCAACUGAUAGGCUGUUUGAUGAUUCGUGAAUUGCAUCACUCAACUGAUAGGCCUCCUCUUUGUCUGGCCAUUUUAACUAUGGUUUCGUAUGAUUGCUUUACACUAGCUACACACGACUAUUAAAAUGAAUGGCAUGCUUUCCCAGCAAGUUUGGAUUUAAAGGAGAGGCUCUGAGCUCUAUUUCUUUUCUGAUGUUUGUUUGUUGGAAAUUGUUACUAAAACUUAUGGGAAGCCAAAUGGAUAUUGUAAGUUUCGAAGGUAAAUCUCUGUAGAGUUUUAGUUGGUAGCAUCCAUUAGGAUAGGUAUAAAACUACUAACUUGGUCUUUCUUCUAGGCAUUGUUUACAGGACGGCAAGUGCUUGUACCUUGGAAUUGAUAAUUUCAUUGUUCGUGAUGUAUUUUAAACCAAUCAGUUCGAAUGAAGAAAAUGCACUCCAAGUACUUCUAGUUUUCUCACAAUUGAAACAAAUAAAAAAUAGUGGUUUACAUACGUAACUUUCUGAUUGAUCUUUUGGUUUGCAUAUAUAAUCUGGAAACCCAAGGAGUGUCUUGCAUUAUCGUGAUGAUGACCUGCUUUGCGCACAUGCUUCUCCUUCUCCGUUGCCGCUAUUGCCCAGUGGUUUUCGGAUUCAUUUGAGUAACCUCAACAAAUUGAAUGCAAGUGAUGGUUCAUUCAAACUCUCAGGAUACAUCUCACUUCAGAUUUGGUGGUUGGAAGCACAACUUUGACCUAUUAAAUAUGCCAACACUGUUGAUCUUUGACAUUAUUCUAGAGACUCAAGGUUUAAAGGAUAGUUUUUCAUGUAUCCUUUGUUUCAAAAGGUAUCACCUCCUUUAGGUUAGAGUUUACUGAGUUAGUAUAUUUUUUCUUCUUUGAAAAAUAAAAGAGGGAACUAUAUUAAUGACUUUGAUCUUAGAGGAAGUAACUUAGUUUGAACAUUUAACACUACUCUAAUGUUCUAACAGGGUUAACAAAUACUGGAUAUCAUUAAGUAGGAUGAGAGGAUUAGGGAAAAGCUAGAAUAGGUUCUGAAGAAGUGACAAAUUAUUUUAUCUUUGAUGAGUGGAGGAAGUUUCCCUUCAUCUAUUGCUAUCCCAUUCCCUGCUCCUCUUUACCGGUAUACCUGUGAACUAUGAGAUCAAGAAAAAGAGGUGCAGGGCCCAGAGUUUCGAAGCUACUCUUGAGCUUCCUUCUCCUGCAGCCAAAGAAACUGACUGGAGAGUGCUUGUCAGGAGGGAGAUUCGAUAUUUGCAGUCUUAAUAUUCAUCAAGGCAUUAGAGAUUACAAUGUCAUUUUUCUAAGUGUCAUAGUCUCACUCGAAUUCCAUCUUGCUUAUGUUCUCAUCUUGUGAUAGAACCGUCAUGCCUUCUAUUUUCAUUCAAAUUUUCAGAAUUUGCACCAACAAAAACUCAAAAGUAUCUUAAAUUCUGAUCUUGACGUCUUGCAUUUUGGUUGGUGAUUCUUCGGUUCCUGAUACCAUUGAUAAAAAACUGCUUGGAGGGUGCCAAAGUUCUCCAGCAGGUUGAUAAGAAUUAUAUUCCGAUUGUGGCAGGCAUGCCACUUGCUAUAAUUGAUCAGGUCUAUUCUGGCCUUCGCAUAGUCCAUUAUGCCUGUUCUUGGUUUCUCGUAAAUUUCCUUAUAAUGUGUUUACUUUAAAUAAUUGUUUAUCUUGGGGAUUGUUUUGUUGGACUCAGUAGCAAACAUAAAACUCAGCAUAAACUUCCGCAUAAAUAGUAUAAUAUUUGUUGGCUGCGUAAGUCAUAGUAAUAACUGCAUAACUAUGUAUAACUCAGUUAUACGCAUAAGAAAAAUUAGCUCGACAGGACAUAUGCAGCGUCUGGUAGGUGGUAUUUAACUUUCAUUAUUAAUAUCCUUGUGACUUAUGUGAGAAUCUAUACGUUAUUUAUGUGGGAUGGAAUAUGGAAUAAGAAAACACAUGCCAACAAUGCACAGAUGAGUAUUUACAGGCAAAAAUUCCCUUUAUAGUAGAUAGUCCCCGCAUAGAAUAUCUUAUUUACUACUCACUGCGCUAAAAUCCCUUCAUUAUUAGUUACUGCAUAACAAUUUUUACAUUAUUAUCACUGCAUAAACAUUCCCUCUAUGAUUCUUACUUAACCAAAUAAUGUCUUAACUCUUUUAUAUUGCUGUUUAGUGGUAUUACUGAAGAAAAGGAUUAUGAUCUUUUGUUUGAUUCUACCAUUUAUCUUCGCUGAGCAUUACACUCAUUAUCAUGUUUUACAACAUGAUGCAGAUGAGCGAAUUCGAACUGUGUGAAAAGGUAAUGAUUGUCUAAAAACUCAUUGAUGUGUCAUAUCAAUGUGGAAUCUGGAAAGUGAAUUAUCAGGUCCUAUCUAGACAAAAGAGGACAACAACCUAUCUUGAUUCCUAGCAAGAAAUGGUCAUACCUGAAACUAAUUACCAAUUACUACACAACUAUGCUGACCAAAUUUCAAAACUGGGGUUGGAUCUGCAACAUUCAUUCUCAAGCCUCAAGAUCAUUUACUAGCAUUCAUUGAAGUGGAACCUAACUCUAGCAUGAACUGAAAAGUAACGGUGACAGCCAAUUCAAAAGUAAACACACUACUAGCUAAACAAAUUGAAGCUGUGACACUGAGGUCAGUUGAAGUUAAUUAUUCUUAAUAUAUAGUAAGUGUUAAAUGCUUAAACUGCCUAUUACUGUUGUCCUUUCAUUAACUACACACACUAUUAUCCUGUAUUAUGUGUAGAUUAUGUAUAAGUCCUUUGUUUUUGAUAAGAUUGGAAAAUCUUGAACUGACCUGAAUUUGAUUGAUUUUUUUUCGUCUGUUGGGUAAUUUUUUUGCUUUCUGCUUGUGGGUUUAAACCUUGAUGCUCUCUCGCCUCCACCAACCCCCACAUAAGCAAAAGAGAAGGAACAAGGUGCAAUUAUGUUUGGAGAUGCAUUGUCGCCUUCAGAGUGUAGCAAUAAUUCAUCACAUUGAAAUAUAAUUUGGAUCUAGAGCACAAUACAUCUAUACAGAUUCAACAAAUAAAUGUAUUUUACCCGAUUACAGAUCCAACCGUACCAUUUCUGUAAGUUUAUUUAUUUAUACCCUACUUAGAGAUACGAUUAAUGUUGUCAAACUCAAAAUAUACACUCCAUGGGAAGCACUAAUCACUAUAGGUAAAUAGAUGUUGCUUUACAUUUAUUGAGGAAAAGUUGUAUUUUUUUCUUAAAUCAUUUAUUUUCUUCUACUUUUUC
Molecule: long non-coding RNA, 5353 nt
Organism: Solanum pennellii
Lineage: Eukaryota; Viridiplantae; Streptophyta; Magnoliopsida; Solanales; Solanaceae
Exons: 13
Source: RefSeq, a predicted model, not a curated record